RNAcentral lists this unclassified non-coding RNA (616 nucleotides) under Hevea brasiliensis (rubber tree). Lineage: Eukaryota; Viridiplantae; Streptophyta; Magnoliopsida; Malpighiales; Euphorbiaceae. The record is from RNAcentral.
AGUUUUAGGAGGCACAACACGAGACCACACAUAAGGAUGGUUGUUAUUCUGUUGAAAACAUGCUUCCAAUAAACAAUUGUACAGAGAUUUAAUAGCAAAAGGCCCAUUACUUGUAGGCUUCCAUACAAGCCUAUCUUCCUUAAAUUAAAAGAGAAAGACUGAAUUUAUAACAUCCAGCAAUUGGUUCAAAGACUGCAGCUCCUAAGAAAAUAAUUCUCUUCAGCAAUUAAGAUUCCAAACCCAGUUGUUGUACUCCCAAAUCCUUAUUUCACUAACAUGAGCAUCCGGCAAGGAAGAAAGAUAAAAGAGUCUCACAAAGAUACAUCUUAGUGGUCUAUCCCCAACCCAUUUGUCAUACUAGUAGCGAAUGGAUGAUCCAUUGCCUACAAGAUGCGGAAAAUUUUCCAGAAUUGGAAAAUUAGAAGCCGGUGUAGAUACAAAAAGCUGAAUAUCCCUCCAAAUUGAGGAAAGAGAUGAACCCGUUGCCAUAGGGAUUCCAUUUUCGGAUUGAAAGCAGCAUUUGGAAUAAAGGAUCGACGCCCAUGGAGAAUCGGACUAUAUUUGUAACCUCCACAGCCAUUUAAACAAAAGAGCUUGAUUUUGUAAAGCAAAUUUG